CUCACUUUGGCAGCACAUAUACCAACCCUGGAAUGAGUUCAGAAAUAUUAGCAUGACUCCCGUGCAAGAA
RNAcentral lists this small nuclear RNA (70 nucleotides) under Cervus elaphus hippelaphus. Lineage: Eukaryota; Metazoa; Chordata; Mammalia; Artiodactyla; Cervidae. The record is from RNAcentral.